CUGCCCAAUGAGUAUUUGAAUGGCCGCGGUACUUUGACCGUGCAAAGGUAGCAUAAUCAUUAGUUUUUUAAUUGAAAGCUGGUAUGAAAGGUUGGAUGAGAAAAUUACUGUCUCUGUUUAAAUUAAUUAGAAUUUUAUUUUUAAGUAAGAAAGCUUAAAUGAGAAUAGAAGACGAGAAGACCCUAUAGAGUUUUAUAAAUUUUAAUUUAAAGAAUUUUUAGAAUUAAUAAAUUUUUAUUUUAAAAUGUAUUUGAUUGGGGUGAUUGAAAAAUUUAAAGAACUUUUUUUAUUUAUUAAACAUUUAUUUAUGAAUAAGUGAUCCUUAUUUAAAGAUUAAAAGAAAAAAUUACCUUAGGGAUAACAGCGUAAUUUUUUUAAAGAGUUCAAAUCGAAAAAAAAGAUUGCGACCUCGAUGUUGGAUUAAAAUAAAAUUUUGGUGUAGAAGCUAAAGUAUUUGGGUCUGUUCGACCUUUAAAAUUUUACAUGAUCUGAGUUUAAACCGGUGU
This 506-nucleotide ribosomal RNA is filed under the name Rhinoscapha humboldtiana. RNAcentral describes it as "partial 16S ribosomal RNA". It matches the Rfam family "Bacterial large subunit ribosomal RNA", at positions 1859 to 2622 of the family's 2925-position model. The record is from RNAcentral. Lineage: Eukaryota; Metazoa; Arthropoda; Insecta; Coleoptera; Curculionidae.